Long non-coding RNA from Macadamia integrifolia, 968 nucleotides. RefSeq lists it as uncharacterized. Lineage: Eukaryota; Viridiplantae; Streptophyta; Magnoliopsida; Proteales; Proteaceae. The transcript is spliced from 2 exons. The record is from RefSeq and is a predicted model, not a curated record.
ACCAGUGGGACCGGCUCUUCAAACCCUUCUUCCGCUGCUCCGAUGAUCCUCUUAGGGUACCCUGGUUUGAAUCGUAGCGACAGAGCUGGUGGAGGCGAUGACGAAUCGGCCACUCUAGGGUCUCGACUUCCACCUUUUGCAUCUAUCAAUCGUCUCUCUUAUUCUUGGGAUUCACACCGGUUGGAUUCUUCCCGACAGUUUACUGAAACCCUUAUGAGCAGUCCAUUGUUCCUUCCUAUGUGUGACAAAAAAGACGUAAGUAGCUCUCAAAUUUUGUGCAGUUCCUGAUCCAGAACACUGAUUUCCCUGUUAUUGGAGGAGAUGGACCUCCUCUUAUUGGCUAGCCAACAUCUUGAACGAGCUUUAUGGAUUCGAUGGGACCUCGCCUACUACUAUGCAUCCUUGCCUACCUAUCCACGAGUAUUUGAUGCAUGGGUGGUAAGUGGAUGGCACAACGCGAUGAUCGUGCAUCUUGGGACGACCAAUAAGAGCGUUGUAAGAUGCAUCAACAUCUAUGACUAGGCGUUCGGAGAGUGCUUUGAUGUCGCUAUUCAGAGAGUAUGUAAUUAUCUGGUGACCCAACCAUGACUUUUAGGCUUUAAAGUUUAAACUAAGCUCAGUGAAGACAUGCCCAUUGAGAGCCCAUGGAUCACCCAACUCUAAUGGGCCUACUAGGCUUGGUACUGCACAGCUCUCUACUAGUCCAGUGACUCCAGUCUUCAGAUCUCCUUCUUUAACCAUGUAAAGAUGCUGGACUCUUCAGACUCCAAAUUUCCACUGUUACACACUUAAUUUGAAGAAAGAAAGUUCUCCACACCUACAUGGUCAAGGUAACUGAAGAAUUCAAGCCAAACGAAAAAAGAUAUUAGGGAUGGCAUGUAACUUGGAGUGAUGGAUAGUAGUAAACUUCCAUACAAUUUCUAUGUAAGUUUUGAGUUGCAGCUUCCAAUUAUUUUUCCCAUUUAACA